Pyrus x bretschneideri (Chinese white pear) is the source of this 1443-nucleotide long non-coding RNA. RefSeq lists it as uncharacterized. The record is from RefSeq and is a predicted model, not a curated record. The transcript is spliced from 3 exons. NCBI's taxonomy places the organism in Eukaryota, Viridiplantae, Streptophyta, Magnoliopsida, Rosales, Rosaceae.
UAUAAAAUCAUGACUAAAUAAUAAGUGUAAGAGGUAUAAAACCUGCAUAUAAAAUCAACCCAACACCUCUGCAACUUAAAUUGGUUUCUUUUAAUCGAUUUUGCAGCCUACUCUUCCUGAAAAUUUAGUUGUUAGCACAAUUCUGUUCGUCGUUCUCCAGUUGGUGCGCCAGGUGGUGUUUGUGAUCUGGCAUAUAUAUUGUGUAUGCUUCAACAUCAGAACUGAUGAGUGGAUAAACUGGAAGAAUUAUCCAGAGUUCCAACGUGUUGUUCAACCGCAUCCAGGUAAGUGCACAUCGCAGCAGAAAUUCUGGAUCUUCGUAAUUUUCACCUGUAUGCAGAAUGUAAUGCCUAAUCUUUUGCCCAUCUGGGGAAAAAUUUCACAAGUAUUAGGUUCAGGAAUCCUUAUGACAAAGGCAUUUUUCAGAAUGCCAGGGAGUUUUUAGCAUUAAGAGCGUGACAAUGUCAACUCCUAACCUUACAUUCGUAUCUGCAUUCCACACCAUUUUUUGAAAAGCAGUCGCUCUUAUCGUUUCUUAUCUGCAUUCCACACCAGUUUUCAAAAACUGACAGAACGUUGAAUAGGCCGAUUAUAACAUGUCUUGGCUCAUGUAACUUUGCAGCCUAUGUAUGCACUUCUGCGAUUUGUCAACCAUAUGACGAAUAAAUAGCUUGACAAUCACUGCAACCCUUCAUAGCGUAUGAUGAAUGUAAAUUUACAGCCUAUGCAUGCACUUCUGCUUUUGUAAGUGUCUCAUAUUACUAAACUCCGAAUUAUGACUCUGGUCAAUGAGAGUAAACAUAUAGGCCUAUAGUGAACCGGAAUUGGUUCCAGCUCUCUCCUAUGUUCUGUGAAGGCGGAGACGUAAGGGGAAAGGAUGAAGAAGCUUUAUCAAUCCUUCUGGCCACCAAGCAUCUCCAGCUCCUCGCUACAGCGUACUGACAUUCGGUACCCUUUCAAGGACUUCCCCUUCUCUUCUUCUCACUCUGUGUCUCAGUUCUCUCUGAUUGUAACCAUCAACUAACUCCAGACUGAUCCUCAACAUUCAUUUAGAUCAUUACAAAUGAAUUUUAAUUAAACAUUCAUUUAGAUUGCGCUUUUGCCCGAAUGUGAAUAGUCUAGUGUUUGUGAUCACUUCAUAUUUGUACACCCCAAACUAAAGCAUGUGCCCUACAAAGAGGGACACCCCAGGCCCGAAGACAAAUUAAAUGUGAUGCUACUAUUAAUAGUAACUCGAGUGCACCGGUGAACUUUGAAGUACUGGGGUGGGUAACCUUCUGGAAAAUCUUUGCGUCGGAUUUUGUUUUUAGGCUUGGGUUUGGAUUUGCAUAAAAGAGUAGCAUGAUCUUUGUGCAAGGAUGACAUGCAUAAAUUGAGAUAUGAUCCUGGCUUAAUCCAAUUCUACAUCCCUUUUGUGCAAAUAUAUAAAAGAGCACCAUUGUA